GACGAACGCUGGCGGCGUGCUUAACACAUGCAAGUCGAACGGAAAGGCCCUGCUUUUGUGGGGUGCUCGAGUGGCGAACGGGUGAGUAACACGUGAGUAACCUGCCCUUGACUUUGGGAUAACUUCAGGAAACUGGGGCUAAUACCGGAUAGGAGCUCCUGCUGCAUGGGGGGGGUUGGAAAGUUUCGGCGGUUGGGGAUGGACUCGCGGCUUAUCAGCUUGUUGGUGGGGUAGUGGCUUACCAAGGCUUUGACGGGUAGCCGGCCUGAGAGGGUGACCGGCCACAUUGGGACUGAGAGACGGCCCAGACUCCUACGGGAGGCAGCAGUGGGGAAUAUUGCACAAUGGGCGGGAGCCUGAUGCAGCAACGCCGCGUGCGGGAUGACGGCCUUCGGGUUGUAAACCGCUUUCGCCUGUGACGAAGCGUGAGUGACGGUAAUGGGUAAAGAAGCACCGGCUAACUACGUG
This 468-nucleotide ribosomal RNA is filed under the name uncultured bacterium. RNAcentral describes it as "partial 16S ribosomal RNA". It matches the Rfam family "Bacterial small subunit ribosomal RNA", at positions 28 to 507 of the family's 1533-position model. The record is from RNAcentral.